Molecule: long non-coding RNA, 767 nt
Organism: Solanum tuberosum (potato)
Lineage: Eukaryota; Viridiplantae; Streptophyta; Magnoliopsida; Solanales; Solanaceae
Exons: 2
Source: RefSeq, a predicted model, not a curated record
AGGGAAAUGUUGGUGUGGUCCACAGAUUACGCGAUUUUAGCCCUCAUUAGAAACAUAUAAGUUCCAUUCGUUGACAUAGGAACCUUGGAUCUUUUCAUUUUUAUGAAAAUAAAGUAAUGUCAGCUAUCACGCGUGAUCAUGCUGAUUAGAAGAUUUGUUUUGUCUUGCAGAGACUAGACAUACAGAAAAUUCCAUAUGUUUUGUCCCGAAGGAAAAAUAGAUCACAAUCAAGAAAUGAACAUAUAAAUGACAGGUUCUUGCUUACAAGGGGCUCUUGGAAAGUAUUAAUGAGUAAUCAUUAGAAUUCAUUCUGGUGGAUGAACUGGUCUAAGGGUCUGAGUUUCCAUGGUUAACGUCUACAACUGCUUAAGUCUGCAUAAACAAGCUUUCGUAUUCUACUUAAAUAGGUCCGCUGGUUUAUGAAUUCAUAAAGCGAGUUAUAGGGAUCAAUCAAUGGCUUUUAAAUGAAGGCAUAUGCAUGGAGAUUUCAGUUGUCCUGUUGGAGAUAUGAGUAUGUGAAUAUGACACCUUCUAGCUUCUCCAAAGAGUACGCUGCUUAUCCGUUAAUGUCUAUGGUGGUACGUUAAAAUUCUUGAAAACAUAGCGGAGUGUUAGAUUCUGAGGUCCACCAAUGUUUGCCAACACUAACUUUCUUCGCUAAGUGUCUUCGAUAGAAUAUCAUGAGUAGCAACUCCUUAUGUUUUCGAUCAUUAUUGGUAUGUUAGUAAUGCUGUUGGUGUCAAUGUAGCAGAACAAGUUAACAGUUU